UACGGCGGGUGCAAGCGUUAUCCGGAUUCACUGGGUUUAAAGGGUGCGUAGGUGGGCAAGUAAGUCAGUGGUGAAAUCUCCGGGCUUAACCCGGAAACUGCCAUUGAUACUAUUUGUCUUGAAUACUGUGGAGGUCAGCGGAAUAUGUCAUGUAGCGGUGAAAUGCUUAGAUAUGACAUAGAACACCAAUUGCGAAGGCAGCUGGCUACACAAAUAUUGACACUGAGGCACGAAAGCGUGGGGAUCAAACAGG
RNAcentral lists this ribosomal RNA (253 nucleotides) under uncultured bacterium. RNAcentral's name for it is "partial 16S ribosomal RNA". It matches the Rfam family "Bacterial small subunit ribosomal RNA", at positions 524 to 776 of the family's 1533-position model. The record is from RNAcentral.